Molecule: ribosomal RNA, 560 nt
Filed under: Streptomyces sp. LKB1-6
Lineage: Bacteria; Bacillati; Actinomycetota; Actinomycetes; Kitasatosporales; Streptomycetaceae
Description: bacterial SSU rRNA
Rfam family: Bacterial small subunit ribosomal RNA
Source: RNAcentral
CCGGAUACGACCUGGUUGCGCAUGCUUCCGGGUGGAAAGCUCCGGCGGUGCAGGAUGAGCCCGCGGCCUAUCAGCUUGUUGGUGGGGUAAUGGCCUACCAAGGCGACGACGGGUAGCCGGCCUGAGAGGGCGACCGGCCACACUGGGACUGAGACACGGCCCAGACUCCUACGGGAGGCAGCAGUGGGGAAUAUUGCACAAUGGGCGAAAGCCUGAUGCAGCGACGCCGCGUGAGGGAUGACGGCCUUCGGGUUGUAAACCUCUUUCAGCAGGGAAGAAGCGCAAGUGACGGUACCUGCAGAUGAAGCACCGGCUAACUACGUGCCAGCAGCCGCGGUAAUACGUAGGGUGCGAGCGUUGUCCGGAAUUAUUGGGCGUAAAGAGCUCGUAGGCGGCUUGUCACGUCGGGUGUGAAAGCCCGGGGCUUAACCCCGGGUCUGCAUUCGAUACGGGCAGGCUAGAGUUCGGUAGGGGAGAUCGGAAUUCCUGGUGUAGCGGUGAAAUGCGCAGAUAUCAGGAGGAACACCGGUGGCGAAGGCGGAUCUCUGGGCCGAUACUGA